Molecule: ribosomal RNA, 492 nt
Filed under: uncultured bacterium
Lineage: Bacteria
Description: partial 16S ribosomal RNA
Rfam family: Bacterial small subunit ribosomal RNA
Source: RNAcentral
AGUGAACGCUGGUGGUAGGCCUAACACAUGCAAGUCGAACGGCAGCACAGUAAGAGCUUGCUCUUACGGGUGGCGAGUGGCGGACGGGUGAGGAAUACAUCGGAAUCUACUUUUUCGUGGGGGAUAACGUAGGGAAACUUACGCUAAUACCGCAUACGACCUACGGGUGAAAGCAGGGGAUCUUCGGACCUUGCGCGAUUGAAUGAGCCGAUGUCGGAUUAGCUAGUUGGCGGGGUAAAGGCCCACCAAGGCGACGAUCCGUAGCUGGUCUGAGAGGAUGAUGAGCCACACUGGAACUGAGACACGGUCCAGACUCCUACGGGAGGCAGCAGUGGGGAAUAUUGGACGAUGGGCGCAAGCCUGAUCCAGCCAUACCGCGUGGGUGAAGAAGGCAUUCGGGUUGUAAAGCUCUUUUGUUGGGAAAGAAAAGCAGCAGGUUAAUACCCCGCUGUUCUGACGGUACCCAAAGAAUAAGCACCGGCUAACUUCGUG